RNAcentral lists this long non-coding RNA (460 nucleotides) under Helianthus annuus (common sunflower). Lineage: Eukaryota; Viridiplantae; Streptophyta; Magnoliopsida; Asterales; Asteraceae. The record is from RNAcentral.
UUUCUCAGCCUUAUUCCUGCGAUUCCAACUUCCAAAUGAAGAUCUGCAACAAAGGUUCGUUAAUCGAAUCAAUUUUGCAAUCCCAGUUCAUCAGAUCUUCGUUUGGAACUUGGAAUCGCAGGAAUAAGGGUGAGAUAUUGAGGAUCUUGGAAUGAAACAGUACGUAUUUUUUUGUGGAGAGUAGUUAAUAUCUUUUAUAAAAAUAUAAAAAUUAAAUGAGGGUAUAAUCAAAACUACGUAGUUUUGAUGGUUUCGCAUGUAACUUACAUGUAUAACAGCCUUAUAUUCCCUUUCCCCAUAUAAUAAUAAUACAAAAGGACUUCACGUUAAGUUGACCUUGACUUCUCAUAGUUGCUUUACUCCCAUGAAUACACACACAUACUUCUCUAAACUCAUCACAAUCCACAUCACCGGAAAACCUUCCUCUCCAGCUAAAAAUGAGUUACAGCGGCUACUCUCC